Molecule: ribosomal RNA, 490 nt
Filed under: uncultured bacterium
Lineage: Bacteria
Description: partial 16S ribosomal RNA
Rfam family: Bacterial small subunit ribosomal RNA
Source: RNAcentral
AUUGAACGCUGGCGGCAGGCCUAACACAUGCAAGUCGAACGGUAACAGGAAGAAGCUUGCUUCUUUGCUGACGAGUGGCGGACGGGUGAGUAAUGUCUGGGAAACUGCCUGAUGGAGGGGGAUAACUACUGGAAACGGUAGCUAAUACCGCAUAACGUCGCAAGACCAAAAAGGGGGACCUUCGGGCCUCUUGCCAUCGGAUGUGCCCAGAUGGGAUUAGCUAGUAGGUGGGGUAACGGCUCACCUAGGCGACGAUCCCUAGCUGGUCUGAGAGGAUGACCAGCCACACUGGAACUGAGACACGGUCCAGACUCCUACGGGAGGCAGCAGUGGGGAAUAUUGCACAAUGGGCGGAAGCCUGAUGCAGCCAUGCCGCGUGUAUGAAGAAGGCCUUCGGGUUGUAAAGUACUUUCAGCGGGGAGGAAGGGAGUAAAGUUAAUACCUUUGCUCAUUGACGUUACCCGCAGAAGAAGCACCGGCUAACUCCGUG